CCGACCUUAGCUCAGUUGGUAGAGCGGAGGACUGUAGUAUGAAUUCUGAAAUCCUUAGGUCGCUGGUUCGAAUCCGGCAGGUCGGA
This 86-nucleotide transfer RNA is filed under the name Salvia splendens (bonfire salvia). It matches the Rfam family "tRNA". Rfam says of the family: Transfer RNA (tRNA) molecules are approximately 80 nucleotides in length. Their secondary structure includes four short double-helical elements and three loops (D, anti-codon, and T loops). Further hydrogen bonds mediate the characteristic L-shaped molecular structure. tRNAs have two regions of fundamental functional importance: the anti-codon, which is responsible for specific mRNA codon recognition, and the 3' end, to which the tRNAs corresponding amino acid is attached (by aminoacyl-tRNA synthetases). tRNAs cope with the degeneracy of the genetic code in two manners: having more than one tRNA (with a specific anti-codon) for a particular amino acid; and 'wobble' base-pairing, i.e. permitting non-standard base-pairing at the 3rd anti-codon position. The record is from Rfam by way of RNAcentral. Lineage: Eukaryota; Viridiplantae; Streptophyta; Magnoliopsida; Lamiales; Lamiaceae.